UCUCUAUAAGCCCCUCCCCUUCCUCCUCACCGUCGACUCAGAAACGCUACACCGCACACGCAGGCCCGCACCGCGGAGAGGGCUCAGCAAACCCAGGCUUUGUGUUCAUGGACUGGCUUAACAAACCCUAAAGCCCGCGUCGCAGUUAAACGGUAUGGCGUCGGUGGUUAUCAGCGUGCUAUGUCACGUCCGGUUCUCAGCUUUGUGCUCUGUGCGCGUUCACACCGAAGGUGUCGUUUAACGUCGUAUUGUUCUACGUCCGCGCAAAAUGGAGCGAUGCCGGGCAAUAUAUUUCACACAAGAGGAGCAGGAUAUCAUAAUGCAAAGUUAUGAGGAAUAUAGGAAGACAAUCACUGCCAAAAGUAACACUGUCGCCGCCAACAAGGCAAGAGAGGAGUGCUGGCAGAAGAUUGCUGAUCGUGUAAAUGCCUGUGGAAGCAGCUGUCGGACAUGGCAGCAAGUCAGAGCCAAGCACAAAAACAUCAUCCAAAGUGCCAACAGGAAAAAUAAAGAGAAGAGGAAGACUGGAGGGGAGCCAGCUCCUCCAGAAUCCACAGUAGGAUCCACAGCUCCAGAGGAGCCGUGCCUCUCCAACAAUGAGGCUCGAUCGAGGGUCGGCCCAAUUAUAGAGGGGACUGAGGGGGGGCUCGGGAUGGACCCUAGUACUGGCACACAAAAUAACCUGCUACUUCAUGUUGUGGGAGACACCAUGUUGCUGCUGCCGUCAGCACGAUUUCCCUGUGACUCCACCCUAAAGGCUGAAGUCGAUGACCAAGAGGUCUCUGUGUUUUCGGAGAGGCCUGUGAAAGAAGAGGACCUACACCACUCCCCUCAGCCCACGGCCUCUUUGUCUGAACUAGGGUAUGAAAAAAAGUGUCCUGUCAACCACAGUCAUUCAUCCAGACUACAGAUACACUCGGAGCGGUGUUCAAGAGGAACCUGGAGCUGGACAAUGUGAAAAAGGAGCUGGAAAUUAAAAAACUGAAACUGGAGAUUGAACUCUUACAGUUUAAGAAAAAGAUGCAGACAUUGGAAUAAAACAAUAAUAUACAUUCAGUGAAUGUCUCUUUGGUCCUUUAUUUGGUCCCUCACACUGAUGGCCGGGUGAAAUGCUGGGUAGUUAUGGCCUGCCAGAUGGCUUCAUUGGUUGGUUCAGACUUGGGCAAACUGCAGCCUAUAGGCCAGAUACGGCUCACUGGGCUUUCUGAUCCAGCCCGCCAAAUACCACUACAAAUUAUAGUAAUCCUUCUGUUUCAUG
RNA transcript from Cynoglossus semilaevis (tongue sole), 1258 nucleotides. RefSeq lists it as uncharacterized. The transcript is spliced from 8 exons. Lineage: Eukaryota; Metazoa; Chordata; Actinopteri; Pleuronectiformes; Cynoglossidae. The record is from RefSeq and is a predicted model, not a curated record.